RNAcentral lists this transfer RNA (75 nucleotides) under Bacillota bacterium. Its description in RNAcentral is "Firmicutes bacterium (anaerobic digester metagenome) tRNA-Ala". It matches the Rfam family "tRNA". From Rfam's summary of the family: Transfer RNA (tRNA) molecules are approximately 80 nucleotides in length. Their secondary structure includes four short double-helical elements and three loops (D, anti-codon, and T loops). The record is from RNAcentral. Lineage: Bacteria; Bacillati; Bacillota.
GGGGCUGUGGCGCAGAGGGAGCGCGCCUCCUUGGCAUGGAGGAGGCCGCGGGUUCGAAUCCCGCCAGCUCCACCA